CCUAAGUGAACAUGCAGAAAACA
Molecule: non-coding RNA, 23 nt
Filed under: Arabidopsis thaliana (thale cress)
Lineage: Eukaryota; Viridiplantae; Streptophyta; Magnoliopsida; Brassicales; Brassicaceae
Source: RNAcentral